RNAcentral lists this long non-coding RNA (7151 nucleotides) under Citrus x clementina. Its description in RNAcentral is "Citrus clementina (C. clementina) long non-coding RNA (CCLE_LNC004928)". The record is from RNAcentral. Lineage: Eukaryota; Viridiplantae; Streptophyta; Magnoliopsida; Sapindales; Rutaceae.
CCCCCCAGCGGAAAAAUGUCCAAAAAACGGGUGGGCUAUAGCCUUGGUGGGGGGCGCGGGCGAAGUUCGUCCGCCGGACUCGGAAUGCGGCGAGACUUUGGGAGGGGCCUCGGGGUACCAAAAAUAAGCCGCGGGCAAAGCCGCCCCCAAAAAUAAGCGCACGAAGGUCGUGGUGCCAAAACCCCCCAGCGGAAAAAUGGCCAAAAAACGGGUGGGCUAUAGCCUUGGUGGGGGGCGCGGGCGAAGUUCUCCGCCGGACUCGGACAUGGGGCGAGACUUUGCGAGGGGCCUCGUGGCGCCAAAAAUAAGCCGCGGGCAAAGCCGCGCCCAAAAAUAAGCGCCCGAAGGUGGUGGUGCCAAAACCCCCCAGCGGAAAAAUGGCCAAAAAACGGGUGGUCUAUAGCCUUGGUGGGGGGCGCGGGCGAAGUUCGUCCGCCGGACUCGGAAUGGGGCGAGACUUUGCGAGGGGCCUCGGGGUGCUAAAAAUAAGCAGCGGGCAAACCCGCGCCCAAAAAUAAGCGCCCGAAGGUCGUGGUGCCAAAACCGCCCAGCGGAGAAAUGGCCAAAAAACGGGUCGUGGGCUAUAGCCUAGGUGGGGGGCGCUGGCGAAGUUCGUCUGCCGGACUCAGAAUGGGGCGAGACUUUGCGAGGGGCCUCGUGGUGCCAAAAAUAAGCCGCGGGCAAACCCGCGCCCAAAAAUAAGCGCCCGAAGGUCGUGGUGCCAACACCCCCAAGCGGAAAAAUGGCCAAAAAACGGGUGGGCUAUACCCUUGGUGGGGGGCGCGGGCGAAGUUCGUCCGCCGCACUCGGAAUGGGGCGAGACUUUGCGAGGGGCCUCGGGGUGCCAAAAAUAAGCCGCGGGCAAAGCCGCGCCCAAAAACAAGCGCCCGAAGGUCGUGGUGCCAAAACCCCCCAGCGGAAAAAUGGCUAAAAAACGGGUGGGCUAUAGCCUUGGUGGGGGGCGCGGGCGAAGUUCGUCCGCCGGACUCGGAAUGGGGCGAGACUUUGCGAGGGGCAUCGGGCUGCAAAAAAUAAGCCGCGGGCAAAGCCGCGCCCAAAAAUAGGCGCCCGAAGGUCGUGGUGCCAAAACCCCCCAGCGGAAAAAUGGCCAAAAAACGGGUGGGCUAGAGCUUUGGUGGGGGGUGCGGGCGAAGUUCGUUCGCCGGACUCGGAAUGGGGCGAGACUUUGCGAGGGGCCUCGGGGUGCCAAAAAUAAGCCGCAGGCCAAGCCGCGCCCAAAAAUAAGCGCCCGAAGGUCGUGGUGCCAAAACCCCCCAGCGGAAAAAUGGCCAAAAAACGGGUGGGCUAUAGCCUUGGUGGGGGGCGCGGGCGAAGUUCGUCCGCCGGACUCGGAAUGGGGCGAGACUUUGCGAGGGGCCUCGGGGUGCCCGCGGAAAGUCGCGGGCAAAGCCGCGUCCAAAAAUAAGCGCCCGAAGGUCGUGGUGCCAAAACCCCCCAGCGGAAAAAUGGCCAAAAAAUGGGUGGGCUAUAGCCUUGGUGGGGGGCGCGGGCGAAGUUCGUCCGCCGGACUCGGAAUGGGGCGAGACUUUGCGAGGGGCCUCGAGGUGCCCGCGGGUAGUCGCGGGCACAGCUGCGCCCAAAAAUAAGCGCCCGAAGGUCGUGGUGCCAAAACCCCCCAGCGGAAAAAUGGCCAGAAAACGGGUGGGCUAUAGCCUUGGUGGGGGGCGCGGGCGAAGUUCGUCCGCCGGACUCGGAAUGGGGCGAGACUUUGCGAGGGGCCUCGGGGUGCCCGCGGGAAGUCGCGGGCACAGCCGCGUCCAGAAAUACGCGCCCGAAGGUCGUGGUGCCAAAACCCCCUAGCGGAAGAAUGGCCAAAAAACGGGUGGGCUAUAGCCAUGGUGGGGGGCGCGGGCGAAGUUCGUCCGCCAGACUCGGAAUGGGGCGAGAAUUUGCGAGGGGCCUCGGGGUGCAAAAAUAAGCCGCGGGCAAAGCCCCGCCCAAAAUAAACGACCGAGGUUGUGUUGGCAAACCCCCCAGCAAAAAAAUGGCCAAAAAACGGGUGGGCUAUAGCCUUGGUGGGGGGCGCGGGCGAAGUUCGUCCGCCGGACUCGAAAUGGGGCGAGACUUUGCGAGGGUCCUCGGGGCACAAAAAAUAAGCCGCGGGCAAAGCCGCGCCCAAAAAUAAGCGCCCAAAGUUCGUGGUGCCAAAACCCCCCAGCGGAAAAAUGGCCAAAAAACGGGUGGGCUAUAGCCUUGGUGGGGGGCGCGGGCGAAGUUCGUCCGCCGGACUCGGAAUGGGGCGAGACUUUGCGAGGGGCCUCGGGGUGCCCGCGGGAAGUCGCGGGCACAGCCGUGCCCAAAAAUAAGCGCCCGAAGGUCGUGGUGCCAAAACCCCCCAGCGGAAAAAUGGCCAAAAAACGGGUGGGCUAUAGCCUUGGUGGGGGGCGUGGGCGAAGUUCGUCCGCCGGACUUGGAAUGGGGCGAGACUUUGCGAGGGGCCUCGGGGUGCCCGCGGGAAGUCGCGGGCACAGCCGCGUCCAGAAAUAAGCGCCCGAAGGUCGUGGUGCCAAAACCCCCUAGCGGAAAAAUGGCCAAAAAACGGGUGGGCUAUAGCCUUGGUGGGGGGCGCGGGCGAAGUUCGUCCGCCGGACUCGGAAUGGGGCGAGACUUUGCGCGGGGCCUCGGGGCGCCAAAAAUAAGCCGCGGGCAAAGCCGCGUCCAAAAAUAAGCGCCCGAAGGUCGUGGUGCCAAAACCCCCCAGCGGAAAAAUGGCCAAAAAACGGGUGGGCUAUAGCCUUGGUGGGGGGCGCGGGCGAAGUUCGUCCGCCGGACUCGGAAUGGGGCGAGACUUUGCGAGGGGCCUCGGGGCACCAAAAAUAAGCCGCGGGCAAAGCCGCACCCAAAAAUAAGCGCCCGAAGGUCGUGGUGCCAAAAACCCCCUGCGGAAAAAUGGCCAAAAAACGGGUGGGCUAUAGCCUUGGUGGCGUGCGCGGGCGAAGUUCGUCCGCCGGACUCGGAAUGGGGCGAGACUUUGCGAGGGGCCUCGGGGUGCCAAUAAUAAGCCGCGGGCAAGGCCGCGCCCAAAAAUAAGCGCCCGAAGGUCGUGGUGCCAAAACCCCCCAGCGGAAAAAUGGCCAAAAAACGGGUGGGCUAUAGCCUUGGUGGGGGGCGCGGGCGAAGUUCGUCCGCCGGACUUGGAAUGGGGCGAGACUUUGCGAGGGGCCUCGGGGUACCCGCGGGAAGUCGCGGGCACAGCCGCGUCCAGAAAUAAGCGCCCGAAGGUCGUGGUGCCAAAACCCCCCAGCGGAAAAAUGGCCAAAAAACGGGUGGCCUAUAGCCUUGGUGGGGGGCGCGGGCGAAGUUCGUCCGCCGGACUUGGAAUGGGGCGAGACUUUGCGAGGGGCCUCGGGGUACCCGCGGGAAGUCGCGGGCACAGCCGCGUCCAGAAAUAAGCGCCCGAAGGUCGUGGUGCCAAAACCCCCCAGCGGAAAAAUGGCCAAAAAACGGGUGGCCUAUAGCCUUGGUGGGGGGCGCGGGCGAAGUUCGUCCGCCGGACUCGGAAUGGGGCGAGACUUUGCGCGGGGCCUCGGGGCGCCAAAAAUAAGCCGCGGGCAAAGCCGCGCCCAAAAAUAAGCGCCCGAAGGUCGUGGUGCCAAAACCCCCCAGCGGAAAAAUGGCCAAAAAACGGGUGGGCUAUAGCCUUGGUGGGGGGCGCGGGCGAAGUUCGUCCGCCGGAUUCGGAAUGGGGCGAGACUUUGCGAGGGGCCUCGGGGCACCAAAAAUAAGCCGCGGUCAAAGCCGCACCCAAAAAUAAGCGCCCGAAGGUCGUGGUGCCAAAAACCCCCUGCGGAAAAAUGGCCAAAAAACGGGUGGGCUAUAGCCUUGGUGGCGGGCGCGGGCGAAGUUCGUCCGCCGGACUCGGAAAUGGGCGAGACUUUGCGAGGGGCCUCGGGGUGCCAAAAUAAGCCGCGGGCAAGGCCGCGCCCAAAAUAAGCGCCCGAAAGUCGUGGUGCCCAAACCCCCAGCGGAAAAAUGGCCAAAUAUGGGUGGGCUAUAGCCUUGGUGGGGGGCGCGGGCGAAGUUCGUCCGCCGGACUCGGAAUGGGGCGAGACUUUGCGCGGGGUCUCGGGGCGCCAAAAAUAAGCCGCGGGCAAAGCCGCACCCAAAAGUAAGCGCCCGAAGGUCGUGGUGCCAAAACCCCCCAGCGGAAAAAUGGCCAAAAAACGGGUGGGCUAUAGCCUUGGUGGGGGGCGCGGGCGAAGUUCGUCCGCCGGACUCAAGGUAUGUUCGCACGCGAGACUUUGCGAGGAGCCUCGGGGCACCAAAAAUAAGCCGCGGGCAAAGCCGCGCCCAAAAAUAAGCGCCCGAAGGUCGUGGUGCCAAAAACCCCCUGCGGAAAAAUGGCCAAAAAACGGGUGGGCUAUAGCCUUGGUGGGGGGCGCGGGCGAAGUUCGUCUGCCGGACUCGGAAUGGGGCGAGACUUUGCGAGGGGCCUCGGGGUGCCAAAAAUAAGCCGCGGGCAAGGCCGUGCCCAAAAAUAAGCGCCCGAAGGUCGUGGUGCCAAAACCCCCCAGCGGAAAAAUGGCCAAAAAACGGGUGGGCUAUACCCUUGGUGGGGGGCGCGGGCGAAGUUCGUCCGCCGGACUCGGAAUGGGGCGAGACUUUGCGCGCGGCCUCGGAGCGACAAAAAUAAGCCGCGGGCAAAGCCGCGCCCAAAAAUAAGCGCCCGAAGGUCGUGGUGCCAAAACCCCCCAGCGGAAAAAUGGCCAAAAAACGGGUGGGCUAUAGCCUUGGUGGGGGGCGCGGGCGAAGUUCGUCCGCCGGACUCGGAAUGGGGCGAGACUUUGCGCGGGGCCUCGGGGCGCCAAAAAUAAGCCGCGGGCAAAGCCGCGCCCAAAAAUAAGCGCCCGAAGGUCGUGGUGCCAAAACCCCCCAGCGGAAAAAUGGCCAAAAAACGGGUGGGCUAUAGCCUUGGUGGGGGGCGCGGGCGAAGUUCGUCCGCCGGAUUCGGAAUGGGGCGAGACUUUGCGAGGGGCCUCGGGGCACCAAAAAUAAGCUGCGGGCAAAGCCGCACCCAAAAAUAAGCGCCCGAAGGUCGUGGUGCCAAAACCCCCCAGCGGAAAAAUGGCCAAAAAACGGGUGGGCUAUAGCCUUGGUGGGGGGCGCGGGCGAAGUUCGUCCGCCGGAUUCGGAAUGGGGCGAGACUUUGCGAGGGGCCUCGGGGCACCAAAAAUAAGCCGCGGGCAAAGCCGCACCCAAAAAUAAGCGCCCGAAGGUCGUGGUGCCAAAAACCCCCUGCGGAAAAAUGGCCAAAAAACGGGUGGGCUAUAGCCUUGGUGGGGGGCGCGGGCGAAGUUCGUCUGCCGGACUCGGAAUGGGGCGAGACUUUGCGAGGGGCCUCGGGGAGCCAAAAAUAAGCCGCGGGCAAGGCCGCGCCCAAAAAUAAGCGCCCGAAGGUCGUGGUGCCAAAACCCCCCAGCGGAAAAAUUGCCAAAAAACGGGUGGGCUAUAGCCUUGGUGGGGGGCGCGGGCGAAGUUCGUCCGCCGGACUCGGAAUGGGGCGAGACUUUGCGAGGGGCCUCGGGGUGCCCGCGGGAAGUCGCGGGCACAGCCGCGCCCAAAAAUAAGCGCCCGAAGGUCGUGGUGCCAAAACCCCCCAGCGGAAAAAUGGCCAAAAAACGGGUGGGCUAUAGCCCUGGUGGGGGGCGCGGGCGAUGUUCGUCCGCCGGACUCGGAAUGGGGCGAGACUUUGCGAGGGGCCUCGGGGCACCAAAAAUAAGCCGCGGGCAAAGCCGUGCCCAAAAAUAAGCACCCGAAGGUCGUGGUCCCAAAACCCCCCAGCGGAAAAAUGGCCAAAAAACGGGUGGGCUAUAGCCUUGGUUGGGGGCGCGGGUGAAGUUCGUCCGCCGGACUCGGAAUGGGGCGAGACUUUGCUCGGGGCCUCGGGGCACCAAAAAUAAACCGCGGGCAAAGCCGCGCCCAAAAAUAAGCGCCCGAAGGUCGUGGUGCCAAAACCCCCCAGCGGAAAAAUGGCCAAAAAACGGGUGGGCUAUAGCCUUGGUGGGGGGCGCGGGCGAAGUUCGUCCGCCGGACUCGGAAUGGGGCGAGACUUUGCGAGGGGCCUCGGGGCACCAAAAAUAAGCCGCGGGCAAAGCCGUGCCCAAAAAUAAGCGCCCGAAGGUCGUGGUCCCAAAACCCCCCAGCGGAAAAAUGGCCAAAAAACGGGUGGGCUAUAGCCUUGGUGGGGGGCGCGGGUGAAGUUCGUCCGCCGGACUCGGAAUGGGGCGAGACUUUGCUCGGGGCCUCGGGGCACCAAAAAUAAACCGCGGGCAAAGCCGCGCCCAAAAAUAAGCGCCCGAAGGUCGUGGUGCCAAAACCCCCCAGCGGAAAAAUGGCCAAAAAACGGGUGGGCUAUAGCCUUGGUGGGGGGCGCGGGCGAAGUUCGUCCGCCGGACUCGGAAUGGGGCGAGACUUUGCGAGGGGCCUCGGGGCACCAAAAAUAAGCCGCGGGCAAAGCCGUGCCCAAAAAUAAGCGCCCGAAGGUCGUGGUCCCAAAACCCCCCAGCGGAAAAAUGGCCAAAAAACGGGUAGGCUAUAGCCUUGGUGGGGGGCGCGGGUGAAGUUCGUCCGCCGGACUCGGAAUGGGGCGAGACUUUGCUCGGGGCCUCGGGGCGCCAAAAAUAAGCCGCGGGCAAAGCCGCGCCCAAAAAUAAGCGCCCGAAGGUCGUGGUACCAAAACCCCCCAGCAGAAAAAUGGCCAAAAAACGGGUGGGCUAUAGCCUUGGUGGGGGGCGCGGGCGAAGUUCGUCCGCCGGACUCGGAAUGGGGCGAGACUUUGCGAGGGGCCUCGGGGUGCCCGCGGGAAGUCGCGGGCACAGCCGCGUCCAAAAAUAAGCGCCCGAAGGUCGUGGUGCCAAAACCCCCCAGCGGAAAAAUGGCCAAAAAACGGGUGGGCUAUAGCCUUGGUGGGGGGCGCGGGCGAAGUUCGUCCGCCGGACUCGGAAUGGGGUGAGACUUUGCGAGGGGCCUCGGGGUGCCAAAAAUAAGCCGCGGGCAAGGCCGCGCCCAAAAAUAAGCGCCCGAAGGUCGUGGUGCCAAAACCCCCCAGCGGAAAAAUGGCCAAAAAACGGGUGGGCUAUAGCCUUGGUGGGGGGCGCGGGCGAAGUUCGUCCGCCGGACUCGGAAUGGCU